RNAcentral lists this long non-coding RNA (629 nucleotides) under Homo sapiens (human). RNAcentral describes it as "HSALNT0045479". Lineage: Eukaryota; Metazoa; Chordata; Mammalia; Primates; Hominidae. The record is from RNAcentral.
UUUUUUUUUUUUUUUUUUUUUUUUUUAAUGAGCCGGUGCUUUUAAGCGCUGUUACCUACUGGGCCCAAGUAGGCGGUAGAAGAGGGAAAAUAAAGCCAUUUGUUCCCUCUUCAAGCUAACUGCUCCAGAGAGCUGUGAGUGUGCUCUACUACCGUUGGGAAAACCGAAAUUGCGGAGGCCUGAGUCUUUUCAAAAUUGAACGGGAAGCGUUUUUAAACUGCCGCAGGGAGAGGCGUUUGCGAGGUGACAGCUGAUGACCCCUGGGCUUUUAAGUCCUCCUCCCCUCUCUCGGUCCGCUCUCGGUCCUUAAUCGCCUCUGGACUCUGGGCUCUAGUCCCCUCCCCAGAUUCACCCAUCUGACACCCGCCUCCUGCCCAAUCCCCCGGCUCGUCUCCAGGGCUCCCGCGCUCCGCCCAUCCCCCUCUGGAUGCUUCCUCUCUCUCUCUUCUUUCCCUCCCGCCAGCCACUCCUCGCGUCUUUCUCUCCCCACUUCCCUUCUUUCCCCUCACCCUCCAGCCCAGCCCACCCUGCUUUCUCCCUCUUUCUCUUUCCCGUAGAUCCGCGCUCGCGCUGCAACACCUACUCCUCCCUCGGCUCUGGGAGUCGCCAGGCCAGAGGCGCCGCGGACC